CACAUAUUGUGAGCUCGAUGAGUAGGGCGGGACACGUGGUAUCCUGUCUGAAUAUGGGGGGACCAUCCUCCAAGGCUAAAUACUCCUGACUGACCGAUAGUGAACCAGUACCGUGAGGGAAAGGCGAAAAGAACCCCGGCGAGGGGAGUGAAAAAGAACCUGAAACCGUGUACGUACAAGCAGUGGGAGCCUCUUUAUGGGGUGACUGCGUACCUUUUGUAUAAUGGGUCAGCGACUUAUAUUCUGUAGCAAGGUUAACCGAAUAGGGGAGCCGAAGGGAAACCGAGUCUUAACUGGGCGUUAAGUUGCAGGGUAUAGACCCGAAACCCGGUGAUCUAGCCAUGGGCAGGUUGAAGGUUGGGUAACACUAACUGGAGGACCGAACCGACUAAUGUUGAAAAAUUAGCGGAUGACUUGUGGCUGGGGGUGAAAGGCCAAUCAAACCGGGAGAUAGCUGGUUCUCCCCGAAAGCUAUUUAGGUAGCGCCUCGUGAAUUCAUCUCCGGGGGUAGAGCACUGUUUCGGCAAGGGGGUCAUCCCGACUUACCAACCCGAUGCAAACUGCGAAUACCGGAGAAUGUUAUCACGGGAGACACACGGCGGGUGCUAACGUCCGUCGUGAAGAGGGAAACAACCCAGACCGCCAGCUAAGGUCCCAAAGUCAUGGUUAAGUGGGAAACGAUGUGGGAAGGCCCAGACAGCCAGGAUGUUGGCUUAGAAGCAGCCAUCAUUUAAAGAAAGCGUAAUAGCUCACUGGUCGAGUCGGCCUGCGCGGAAGAUGUAACGGGGCUAAACCAUGCACCGAAGCUGCGGCAGCGACACUAUGUGUUGUUGGGUAGGGGAGCGUUCUGUAAGCCUGUGAAGGUGGCCUGUGAGGGUUGCUGGAGGUAUCAGAAGUGCGAAUGCUGACAUAAGUAACGAUAAAGCGGGUGAAAAGCCCGCUCGCCGGAAGACCAAGGGUUCCUGUCCAACGUUAAUCGGGGCAGGGUGAGUCGACCCCUAAGGCGAGGCCGAAAGGCGUAGUCGAUGGGAAACAGGUUAAUAUUCCUGUACUUGGUGUUACUGCGAAGGGGGGACGGAGAAGGCUAUGUUGGCCGGGCGACGGUUGUCCCGGUUUAAGCGUGUAGGCUGGUUUUCCAGGCAAAUCCGGAAAACCAAGGCUGAGGCGUGAUGACGAGGCACUACGGUGCUGAAGCGACAAAUGCCCUGCUUCCAGGAAAAGCCUCUAAGCAUCAGGUAACAUCAAAUCGUACCCCAAACCGACACAGGUGGUCAGGUAGAGAAUACCAAGGCGCUUGAGAGAACUCGGGUGAAGGAACUAGGCAAAAUGGUGCCGUAACUUCGGGAGAAGGCACGCUGAUAUGUAGGUGAAGCGACUUGCUCGUGGAGCUGAAAUCAGUCGAAGAUACCAGCUGGCUGCAACUGUUUAUUAAAAACACAGCACUGUGCAAACACGAAAGUGGACGUAUACGGUGUGACGCCUGCCCGGUGCCGGAAGGUUAAUUGAUGGGGUUAGCGGUAACGCGAAGCUCUUGAUCGAAGCCCCGGUAAACGGCGGCCGUAACUAUAACGGUCCUAAGGUAGCGAAAUUCCUUGUCGGGUAAGUUCCGACCUGCACGAAUGGCGUAAUGAUGGCCAGGCUGUCUCCACCCGAGACUCAGUGAAAUUGAACUCGCUGUGAAGAUGCAGUGUACCCGCGGCAAGACGGAAAGACCCCGUGAACCUUUACUAUAGCUUGACACUGAACAUUGAGCCUUGAUGUGUAGGAUAGGUGGGAGGCUUUGAAGUGUGGACGCCAGUCUGCAUGGAGCCGACCUUGAAAUACCACCCUUUAAUGUUUGAUGUUCUAACGUUGGCCCGUAAUCCGGGUUGCGGACAGUGUCUGGUGGGUAGUUUGACUGGGGCGGUCUCCUCCUAAAGAGUAACGGAGGAGCACGAAGGUUGGCUAAUCCUGGUCGGACAUCAGGAGGUUAGUGCAAUGGCAUAAGCCAGCUUGACUGCGAGCGUGACGGCGCGAGCAGGUGCGAAAGCAGGUCAUAGUGAUCCGGUGGUUCUGAAUGGAAGGGCCAUCGCUCAACGGAUAAAAGGUACUCCGGGGAUAACAGGCUGAUACCGCCCAAGAGUUCAUAUCGACGGCGGUGUUUGGCACCUCGAUGUCGGCUCAUCACAUCCUGGGGCUGAAGUAGGUCCCAAGGGUAUGGCUGUUCGCCAUUUAAAGUGGUACGCGAGCUGGGUUUAGAACGUCGUGAGACAGUUCGGUCCCUAUCUGCCGUGGGCGCUGGAGAACUGAGGGGGGCUGCUCCUAGUACGAGAGGACCGGAGUGGACGCAUCACUGGUGUUCGGGUUGUCAUGCCAAUGGCACUGCCCGGUAGCUAAAUGCGGAAGAGAUAAGUGCUGAAAGCAUCUAAGCACGAAACUUGCCCCGAGAUGAGUUCUCCCUGAGACUUAGAGUCUCCUGAAGGAACGUUGAAGACGACGACGUUGAUAGGCCGGGUGUGUAAGCGCAGCGAUGCGUUGAGCUAACCGGUACUAAUGAACCGUGAGGCUUAACCUUACAACGCCGAAG
RNAcentral lists this ribosomal RNA (2566 nucleotides) under Escherichia coli. RNAcentral describes it as "partial 23S ribosomal RNA". It matches the Rfam family "Bacterial large subunit ribosomal RNA", at positions 391 to 2925 of the family's 2925-position model. Lineage: Bacteria; Pseudomonadati; Pseudomonadota; Gammaproteobacteria; Enterobacterales; Enterobacteriaceae. The record is from RNAcentral.